UAGUCCACGCCGUAAACGAUGUCUACUAGCCGUUGGGAGUCUUGAAUUCUUAGUGGCGCAGCUAACGCGAUAAGUAGACCGCCUGGGGAGUACGGCCGCAAGGUUAAAACUCAAAUGAAUUGACGGGGGCCCGCACAAGCGGUGGAGCAUGUGGUUUAAUUCGAUGCAACGCGAAGAACCUUACCAAGACUUGACAUCCAGAGAACUUACCAGAGAUGGUUUGGUGCCUUCGGGAACUCUGUGACAGGUGCUGCAUGGCUGUCGUCAGCUCGUGUUGUGAAAUGUUGGGUUAAGUCCCGUAACGAGCGCAACCCUUGUCCUUAGUUGCUAGCAGGUAAUGCUGAGAACUCUAAGGAGACUGCCGGUGACAAACCGGGAGGAAGGUGGGGACGACGUCAAGUCAUCAUGGGCCCUUACGUCUUGGGGCUACACACGUGCUACAAUGGGGCAGUACAAAGGGGCUGCAAACCCGCGAGGGGGAGCGUAAU
Molecule: ribosomal RNA, 488 nt
Filed under: uncultured bacterium
Lineage: Bacteria
Description: bacterial SSU rRNA
Rfam family: Bacterial small subunit ribosomal RNA
Source: RNAcentral